CUGAAGGAUCACUGUACCUCCUUGUAAAGUACCAUAUUUCCCAGUCUGAGUCUCCAUAAAGCAGAGGCAGUAACUAAAGAACAGAAAUUUUGCAUGGUAAAGAUGGUGCUUAUCAAGUUCCAUGUUUUGAACAAUUCUUGUACUUGUCCCCUGGUCAGCAGAGCCAUGGAAGAUUUGUCAUCCACUUUUCUUCAGAUGGGACGUGAUACAGAGAGGUGAAAAGUGUUCCACAGACACUCUGUCAGGGCAAGUGCUUGGGAUCACCAGUGCAAAAGGCCUAGAGCUUGCCAUUGCAUUAAGAAACUGUCUUGGGGGCACAGAUCUUCCAUUGGUAAAUUGUCAGCACUCCAGUGAAGCCAGUGAGGCCGAGGACCUGCCUGGCUCUGCAAUCAAGCCAUCAAGUAAGUAUUUCCUGUUGGGGAUAAUCUAUUUGGUAAAUAUGGAGGGUUUCAUCUUACCAGAAAUAUUUUCGUCCUUCCCCUUUGAAUUUUUGUACUGAAUACUAUCUGGUCAAUCAAUAAAUAAACUGAUCAGCUGCCCA
Molecule: long non-coding RNA, 541 nt
Filed under: Cyanistes caeruleus (blue tit)
Lineage: Eukaryota; Metazoa; Chordata; Aves; Passeriformes; Paridae
Description: lncRNA (ENSCCEG00000017588.1)
Source: RNAcentral